CCUUUCAAAGGAAAUGAUCCCUGGCGAUAAAAGAAAGUAAAUAAGGGCGCAUGGCGGAUGCCUUGGCUCUCGGAGGCGAUGAAGGACGUGAUAAGCUGCGAUAAGCUUCGGGUAGGUGCAAAUGACCUUUGAUCCGA
This 137-nucleotide ribosomal RNA is filed under the name Bacteroides fragilis str. 3998T(B)3. RNAcentral describes it as "partial 16S ribosomal RNA". The stretch from base 31 to 137 matches the Rfam family "Bacterial large subunit ribosomal RNA", at positions 1 to 107 of the family's 2925-position model. Lineage: Bacteria; Pseudomonadati; Bacteroidota; Bacteroidia; Bacteroidales; Bacteroidaceae. The record is from RNAcentral.